GACGAACGCUGGCGGCGUGCUUAACACAUGCAAGUCGAACGGAAAGGCCCUGCUCUUGUGGGGUGCUCGAGUGGCGAACGGGUGAGUAACACGUGAGUAACCUGCCCUUGACUUUGGGAUAACUUCAGGAAACUGGGGCUAAUACCGGAUAGGAGCUCCUGCUGCAUGGUGGGGGUUGGAAAGUUUCGGCGGUUGGGGAUGGACACGCGGCUUAUCAGCUUGUUGGUGGGGUAGUGGCUUACCAAGGCUUUGACGGGUGGCCGGCCUGAGAGGGUGACCGGCCACAUUGGGACUGAGAUACGGCCCAGACUCCUACGGGAGGCAGCAGUGGGGAAUAUUGCACAAUGGGCGGAAGCCUGAUGCAGCAACGCCGCGUGCGGGAUGACGGCCUUCGGGUUGUAAACCGCUUUCGCCUGUGACGAAGCGUGAGUGACGGUAAUGGGUAAAGAAGCACCGGCUAACUACGUG
Molecule: ribosomal RNA, 468 nt
Filed under: uncultured bacterium
Lineage: Bacteria
Description: partial 16S ribosomal RNA
Rfam family: Bacterial small subunit ribosomal RNA
Source: RNAcentral